AGGAAAACAUUUAUUUCCAAAGGAAAGUAAACGUAGAAAGCAAUGGGAAUCUGCGUUACGUAUAAAAACUUCGAAGCUAGUAGCACAGCACGAUUGUGUGUUGCGCAUUUUACAGAAAAAGAUUAUUACGGGAAAAUCAAUUAUACAGGUUAUGAGCUCCUUGCAAAAUUUCUUAAAAAGACAGCUGUGCUAUCUGUGUUCUUCUUAACGAAGAUAAAACCAGAAAAUCCAGCUGUUGUGGCACAUCAACAACGUAUUGAACGAAGAAGUCAGUCGAGUAACAAAUGUAGAUGAUUCACAACCAUCAAGUAGCAAAGUUAACCUAAUAAGUGACAGACAAUUUACUGGAAGUUGAUCAUGAAGAAGCAGUCAAAACAGAAGACAACAGUGCAGUAGGAUGUACAUAUAUUAUGCAUGAAUUUAUAUCUAAGGGCACUCAAGUUGAUCAAGAACACAAAUAUGGGUUUAUGAAUAGAUAUAAAGAUGAUAAUGCCACUAUUAAGUUUUACACAGGUUUUGAAUCAUAUAAAAAAUUUAAUUUAGUCUACUCAGCUCUUAGUCCAGUGGUUCACAAAAUAAAAUAUUAUGGCAGCAAUGUGAUUAUUCUUAGCAGUGAUUCUAAUUCUAAUUUAUUAGUUGGUGCAAUACCUGGUAGCUUGCUGUUAUAUUGUUCUCAAGCAUUUGCAGGAUUGAUAAGUGAUCAGUAGGCAGUGGAACAAAGUGACCUUUUAGCAAAAUGUGAAAGUGGUAGUAUAUACUGACUGACAGAGGAUUUAUGAUACAAUAUAUAUUUCAUCAGACAAAAAUGUGACCAUUAGGAUUCCCAGUUUCUUAAAAGAAAAAUUUCAGUUGCCUGGUCUUAAUGUAAUAAAAGAUAGGGAGCUUGCAAACAAAGGAGUUCAUAUAGAAAGAAUAAUAGGAUUAACAAAGACAAACAAAAUUUAAAAAUGAAUUAGACCAUAACUAUAUCCCAAUAGUGAGCAAAAUCUUUUUUUAUGUUUUAUGUGCUAAACAUCUACAAUUUCAGGAAUUAUACUAUUACUAUAUUGUGAAAGAUAUUAGAUAAAAAGAUGUAAUUAUUUCAAUUUAUUUAUUAAUUGUAAAUAGUUCUUAUACACAUACUUAUUUACAUUUCUGGUUCUAAAUUAUGUACAUAAAAGUUUAACAAAUUUGUCAACAUGCCAUUAAUAAAUGAGUCAUCUCUA
RNAcentral lists this long non-coding RNA (1205 nucleotides) under Manduca sexta (tobacco hornworm). RNAcentral's name for it is "uncharacterized LOC119192743". Lineage: Eukaryota; Metazoa; Arthropoda; Insecta; Lepidoptera; Sphingidae. The record is from RNAcentral.